Long non-coding RNA from Harmonia axyridis, 665 nucleotides. RefSeq lists it as uncharacterized. The transcript has 4 exons. The record is from RefSeq and is a predicted model, not a curated record. NCBI's taxonomy places the organism in Eukaryota, Metazoa, Arthropoda, Insecta, Coleoptera, Coccinellidae.
ACAUAGAGUAAGUAUAUAUAGAGGAGAAACUGAGGUACUAAACUCUGAAACAGUAAUUUAGUUCCACCAACACCUUCCAGAGACCGCUCGCAUCGCUGAUUUUCUGUUUACCUCGAGAAUUAUUUACUUAACCUCAAAAAUUUUCAGUUGAUCCGUCGAACCUUAUUUUUGUAAACGUCAUCGUUUUCGAAUGAAGAGAAGCAGCCAACAAUUUUCAAACUUUGGCUCGAAAAAGUUAGUUAUCCAUUGCUCAACUCUAAAACUCCUCAACAAAUUUGUAAGAAGUGAAAUUAGAUAGCCUUAAAGGAAUUUGACAACUGCUAUCCCUGAAUUAUUUCUUCCUGGAUCUUCAAAUCAAGGGGAAGAUGGAGAAGUUCAUGACACUGAAGGAAUACAUCUCCAAAGUGAUGUUGAGAGGGAAGUAUCAACAGAGACUUUGAAGAAUUUUAAGCACCCUCAGAAAACUUCAAUAAUAUAUAGAAAAAGAUAUCGAGGACAACAAUUAAUUGACACUAGAGGCUGUGGGCACUGCAGAGCUGAUGAUUUUUAUGGAUAAGCUGUUUGAUAGCCUGAAUAUGCAAUUGUGAAGGACACAUUAAAAAUUUGGCAUACUAGAAAUAUUUAAAAAAAUGUAAAAUUUUAAAUAGAUGAUUUUUUUAUAUGAA